GACUCAAGAAAAGCAUUAAAGUAAUAUCUAAUUUGAGGUGGAGACAUUUUGGAGCUGCUUCCUAAUCUUCAAGAGCUGCUUAUAAAGAGUAGUUUUGAGUUGUUGGUCUUCUUGGAAAAUCGAGAUGAUGUCCGCUUGAACCUUUCUUAAGAAAACAGUAAUGUUUCGCGAGAUCUCGUCAAUUGAUUGGGAAACAUGAAGACCUUUUGUCUGUUCUGAAACUAGCCCAGUUUUAUUAUUAUGACAGAGAGAGCCCUGGAAUUCAGCAGAAUUUGGUAUAGAUCUAGAGUCGAGAAUGGGGCAAAAGUUGAUACAAUUAGUCAUGAAAUUGCUCCAAAACUCUAUUCUCCAAUUUCUUUUAAGACAUGAACUCUGGUUCUUAAUUCUAUAGUUAUAAACUUUAAGAAUAUCAUUUUCAUCUUGUUUAUUUUUAGUGUGUUUAUAUUCCAAGCACCUGAGGGUCUCAUCGCUCCACUUUGUGAGCUCCAUAUAUCUUCCAGUAAUUAAGCAAUGUAUUGUGGAGGCAAUGCCAAAGAUAUCAAUGUGGUGAAGCCAGGGGAGAUUUUCUAACAUUACAGGAGGAAGAAAGCUUUUUGCAUGGCAAUUUCCUUCAAAGAAGGUGUUUUUGUAAAUUUCUCCUAUAUCUAGACUUCUCCCAAAGUCAAUUAUUGACAUGAAUAUCGGUAAUUCAUGGCUCUCUGGAAUCAGUGGGUGACAAGUAAACAGGUUUGUAUCAUUAUUCCAGCCUUCCUCACAAAAACUAGGAUUUGGAUAUAGUAAUAUGUUGUCAGGCUUAAUAUCUCCAUGUAAUAUUUUCAUUUCAUUAAAUGCAAGGAGGGUUUCAGCAAAUUGAUAAGUGAGAAAUAACAGGAUAGGCUCUUCCAUAGUCAUUCCAUUCCUUAGGUAAAACUCG
This 913-nucleotide non-coding RNA is filed under the name Cryptosporidium parvum. The record is from RNAcentral. Lineage: Eukaryota; Apicomplexa; Conoidasida; Eucoccidiorida; Cryptosporidiidae.